RNAcentral lists this unclassified non-coding RNA (342 nucleotides) under soil metagenome. Its description in RNAcentral is "partial contains 5.8S ribosomal RNA, internal transcribed spacer 2, and large subunit ribosomal RNA". The stretch from base 2 to 119 matches the Rfam family "5.8S ribosomal RNA", at positions 37 to 154 of the family's 154-position model. The record is from RNAcentral.
GUGAAGAACGCAGCGAAAUGCGAUACGUAAUGUGAAUUGCAGAAUUCAGUGAAUCAUCGAGUCUUUGAACGCACAUUGCGCCCCCUGGUAUUCCGGGGGGCAUGCCUGUCCGAGCGUCAUUGCUGCCCUCAAGCACGGCUUGUGUGUUGGGCCUCCGUCCUCCUCCCGGGGGACGGGCCCGAAAGGCAGCGGCGGCACCGCGUCCGGUCCUCGAGCGUAUGGGGCUUCGUCACCCGCUCUUGUAGGCCCGGCCGGCGCUUGCCGACACAUCAAUCUUUUUUCCAGGUUGACCUCGGAUCAGGUAGGGAUACCCGCUGAACUUAAGCAUAUCAAAGCGGAGGA